UGGGGGAUAUUGCACAAUGGGCGAAAGCCUGAUGCAGCGACGCUGCGUGGGGGAUGAAGGCGUUCGGGUUGUAAACCUCUUUCGCUAUCGAACAAGGCCCGCCUAGGGUGGGUUGAGGGUAGGUGGAGAAGAAGCGCCGGCCAACUACGUGCCAGCAGCCGCGGUAAUCCGUAGGGCGCGUGCGUUGUCCGGAAUUAUUGGGCGUAAAGGGCUUGUAGGCGGCUUGUCGCGCCUGCUGUGAAAACGCGGGGCUUAACUUCGCGCGUGCAGUGGGUACGGGCAGGCUUGAGUGUGGUAGGGGUGACUGGAAUUCCAGGUGUAGCGGUGGAAUGCGCAGAUAUCUGGAGGAACACCGAUGGCGAAGGGAGGUCACUGGGCCAUUACUGACGCUGAGGAGCGAAAGCAUAGGUAGCGAACAGG
Molecule: ribosomal RNA, 420 nt
Filed under: bacterium
Lineage: Bacteria
Description: partial 16S ribosomal RNA
Rfam family: Bacterial small subunit ribosomal RNA
Source: RNAcentral